Molecule: long non-coding RNA, 251 nt
Filed under: Mus spicilegus (steppe mouse)
Lineage: Eukaryota; Metazoa; Chordata; Mammalia; Rodentia; Muridae
Description: lncRNA (ENSMSIG00000006489.1)
Source: RNAcentral
AUGCAAUAAGAAACUCUAGGAAAGAGACAGUUAUGAUUUAUCAAACUGAAGUUUAGGUCAUGUUUAUAAAGAUCAACAUAGAUUCGCAAUAUAUGAGGGGCUUGCUUUUUCCAGGACAAGCAAGAAUCCAUUUUACAUCUUAUGAUUUAGCCUUUGUACCUGAGGAAAGAUGCCAGGAGGCUCUAAUCUAUGAAGACAAAAAUCCUGGGCCUUCUCCAGCAACAUGCUCCUUGCUGCUGUUUAUUUGUUGA